RNAcentral lists this ribosomal RNA (253 nucleotides) under uncultured bacterium. RNAcentral's name for it is "partial 16S ribosomal RNA". It matches the Rfam family "Bacterial small subunit ribosomal RNA", at positions 524 to 776 of the family's 1533-position model. The record is from RNAcentral.
UACGUAGGGUGCGAGCGUUGUCCGGAAUUAUUGGGCGUAAAGAGCUCGUAGGCGGUUCGGCAAGUCGGAUGUGAAAGCCCUUGGCUUAACCGAGGAAGUGCAUCCGAAACUGGCGAGCUAGAGUACUAAAGAGGAUCGCGGAAUUCCCGGUGUAGAGGUGAAAUUCGUAGAUAUCGGGAGGAACACCGGUGGCGAAGGCGGCGAUCUGGGUAGAUACUGACGCUGAGGUGCGAAAGCGUGGGGAGCAAACAGG